AGCAUAUCAAUAAGCGGAGGAAAAGAAACUAACAAGGAUUCCCCUAGUAACUGCGAGUGAAGCGGGAAAAGCUCAAAUUUAAAAUCUGGCGGUCUUUGGCUGUCCGAGUUGUAAUCUAGAGAAGUGUUAUCCGCGCUGGACCGUGUACAAGUCUCCUGGAAUGGAGCGUCACAGAGGGUGAGAAUCCCGUCUUUGACACGGACUGCCAGGGCUUUGUGAUAUGCUCUCAAAGAGUCGAGUUGUUUGGGAAUGCAGCUCAAAAUGGGUGGUAAAUUCCAUCUAAAGCUAAAUAUUGGCGAGAGACCGAUAGCGAACAAGUACCGUGAGGGAAAGAUGAAAAGAACUUUGGAAAGAGAGUUAAACAGUACGUGAAAUUGCUGAAAGGGAAACGCUUGAAGUCAGUCGCGUUGUCCAGGGAUCAACCUUGCUUUUGCUUGGUGCACUUUCUGGUUGACGGGUCAGCAUCAAUUUUGACUAUUGGAAAAAGAUUAGGGGAAUGUGACAUCUUCGGAUGUGUUAUAGCCCUUGGUUGCAUACAAUGGUUGGGAUUGAGGAACUCAGCACGCCGCAAGGCCGGGUUUUUAACCACGUACGUGCUUAGGAUGCUGGCAUAAUGGCUUUAAUCGACCCGUCUUGAAACACGGACCAAGGAGUCUAACAUGCCUGCGAGUGUUUGGGUGGAAAACCCGAGCGCGUAAUGAAAGUGAAAGUUGAGAUCCCUGUCGUGGGGAGCAUCGACGCCCGGACCAGACCUUUUGUGACGGUUCCGCGGUAGAGCAUGUAUGUUGGGACCCGAAAGAUGGUGAACUAUGCCUGAAUAGGGUGAAGCCAGAGGAAACUCUGGUGGAGGCUCGUAGCGAUUCUGACGUGCAAAUCGAUCGUCAAAUUUGGGUAUAGGGGCGAAAGACUAAUCGAACCAUCUAGUAGCUGGUUCCUGC
This 938-nucleotide ribosomal RNA is filed under the name Cortinarius alienatus. Its description in RNAcentral is "LSU rRNA". It matches the Rfam family "Eukaryotic large subunit ribosomal RNA", at positions 37 to 961 of the family's 3401-position model. Lineage: Eukaryota; Fungi; Basidiomycota; Agaricomycetes; Agaricales; Cortinariaceae. The record is from RNAcentral.